UUUGGUAAAAGAAAACUUUCCCAAAGGGGAUGGCCAAGAGCCAGCAAUGAGUCUGGCUGUUAUCAAAAUCUUUCCUCAAAUGUCAUAUCAUCUUGUCUUUCUUCCAGAAUCCAUUUAUGUCAUCUGUUUCUAACUGAAAUUGUUGUUAAAACCCCUGAUCUAAGUUGGAUUUGGUGUUUCUGUCCACCAUCUGUUUGAUCUUUUGUCCCAUUGAGCUCUUUUUCUUUAAUCCUGGGUUUUGCUGCAAAUCUUGAUGAACCCAUCUGAGUUAUCAGAGAAUUUGUGGAUUUGUGAUUCGACUUGAUGUGAGUUGUUUGGAUUUUAUUGUCUUAGUGCAAACUUUUAUCUUCUUUCUAGGUUCUGCUGCAACUUUUGAUGAACCCAUCUGAGUUUUCAAGGAAAAGACUCUGGAUUCGUGAUUCAUCUUUCUGUGAGUUGUUUGGUUUGAUUGUUCUGGAGUAAAUUUUCUUCUUUUUUCCUGGGUUUUGCUGCAAAUUUUGAUAAACCCAUCUGAGUAUUCUAAAGAAAGAUUGUGGAUUUGUGAUUCAUCUUGCUGUAAUUUGUUUGGUUCUAUGGUUUUAUUGCAAACCUUGAUCUUCUUCUUUCUAGGUUUUGCUGCAACUUUUGAUGAGCCCAUCUGCGUUUUCAACAAAAAGAUUGUGGAUUUGUGACUCGUCUUGCUCUAAUUUGUUUAGUUUUACUAUCUUGGUACACACCCAUUAGAAAAAGAUUGUUGAUUUAGAGGAAUUCAUUAUGAAUCCUUUCUACUCAGUUGUUAAAGAGGAGUACCCAUUAAGUGAUGGUGGUAGCAGUAGUGGUACACAAGUAAAUAAGCAGUCCAUGAUGGUUCAAAUUCCCCAACCAAUGGAGGGUCUUCAUGAUGCUGGGCCUCCACCUUUCUUGACAAAAAUCUAUGAUAUGGUGGAGGACCAAACCAUUGACCACAUUGUUUCUUGGAGCAGAGGAGGUCAAAGCUUUGUUGUGUUGGAUCCAUAUGCUUUCUCUACUAACCUCCUUCCCAGACACUUCAAGCACAACAAUUUCUCUAGCUUUGUGAGACAGCUCAAUACUUAUGGUUUUAGAAAGAUAGAUCCUGAUAUAUGGGAGUUUGCAAACGAAGCGUUCGUGAGAGGCCAGAGGCACGUUUUGAAGAACAUCAAGAGAAGACGGGCACCAAAUUCGCAAGCUUUGUUUCCACAAGGCGUUGGUUCAGGUAUUGAGGUUGGAACGUUUGGAUUAGAUGAAGUCGGGCGUUUGAAACACGAAAAGCAGGUUUUAACGAUGGAGUUAAUGAAGCUCAGACAACAGCAGCAAAACACGAGGGCGCAACUUCAGGCAAUGGAGGUGAGGCUUCAAGGAACGGAGAAAAAACAGCAAAAGAUGAUGAGUUUCUUGGCGAAAGCUAUGCAGAAUCCGGAUUUCAUCCAGAAAUUAGUCCAAAAUGCUAAAAGAAAGGAACUUGAAGAAGCUUUCAUGAACCACACUCGAGAGCUUCGAGGUGUUAACAAUGGAGAACCGAGCCAAACUUCUGGCGGGUCAAAGUUGAUUAAAUCCGAACCUGAAGAAUUUGGGGAUUCUUCUGGAUUUCAGGUUUCCGAACUCGAGGCACUUGCUUUAGAAAUCCAAGGGUUUGGAAGAUCGAAAAGAAACCAAGAAGAAGAACGGGAUGAGUUCGAGGGCGGGGAGAGAGAACUCGAUGACGAAUUCUGGGAAGAGUUGUUUAGCGAAAGAUCCGACGAACAAGGUGGUACGAUCACCGGAGAUGAAGAUGUGGAUUUCUUGGCCGAAAAGUUGGAUUUCUUGGGUUCAAACCCGAAAUAAGAAGCGGGUUCUUGCUUCUAACAGUUCUUAACACAUGAAAAUAACCAUUUCUUGAUCUUCCAUUGAUGUUGGUUCUUGAUCUUUGUAGUUAGGUACAUCAAGAUGGUGAUUGAAGAUGUGAUGAUGAUGAUACGAUGAUCUUGGAACAGAUUUAGGAAGCUGGUUUGGUUGGUUGUUUUCCAUCUAAAAUUCUGAAUGAACCACUAGUGUUCAUCAGGAUCUGAACUAUCAUCUUAAUUAUUCAGAUUUUCUUGUUAUUCACAGGAGAAGAUUUCUACAUGGGUCCUCUUGGAAAUCUAACUCGGAUCGUUAAUCGUUCUUGUUUUUUUUUUCUGGGCUUGUUUGUUAAAAGUAUAAUCGUCCGUAAAAUUUGAUUCUCUCAUAUGACUCUUUCUUGAUCAUCAGAUUGGAAGCAUUUUCAUGGCUGAAUUGAAGCUCUUGUUCUGAUAUAUCUCAAGAUCGGCCCGAAGAUAUUGAACCGGAGAUUCUAUUGCUGCAAUUUCGGAACGCAGC
Molecule: RNA transcript, 2334 nt
Organism: Cynara cardunculus var. scolymus (artichoke)
Lineage: Eukaryota; Viridiplantae; Streptophyta; Magnoliopsida; Asterales; Asteraceae
Gene name: heat stress transcription factor A-7a-like
Exons: 3
Source: RefSeq, a predicted model, not a curated record